AUUAUCUCAUAAAUGCCGGCAGCUAUCAGUCUGAAACUCUCACAUGGUCGCCCACUGAAGCGAAGCAGGGCUGCGCCCGGUCAGUACUUGUGUAUGGGAGACUACAUGGGAAAGCUAGGUUGGGAAAGUG
RNAcentral lists this ribosomal RNA (130 nucleotides) under Danio rerio (zebrafish). The record is from RNAcentral. Lineage: Eukaryota; Metazoa; Chordata; Actinopteri; Cypriniformes; Danionidae.